UGCAUUCACUACUGUAAGUCGCUCUGGAUAAGAGCGUCUGCUAUAUGACUAAAA
Salmo salar (Atlantic salmon) is the source of this 54-nucleotide non-coding RNA. Lineage: Eukaryota; Metazoa; Chordata; Actinopteri; Salmoniformes; Salmonidae. The record is from Rfam.